CAAAACAGUUAGGGAUAAUUCCUAUAGAACCUAAGUGUAUCGAUUCUUAUCUUUCUUCUGAGAAUUUGCGAUGUUGUACCUCGUAUAGAACGAUUGGAGGAAAAUGUUACCCAUGCAUAGGGUCAUUUGGAUUAGAAUGCAGCAAACCGUGUCCUGAAGGAUAUUAUGGCCUUAAAUGUCAGGAAAAAUGCGAGUGUGACAGGUGCAAUGCUACAACAGGAAACUGUUUUCAUGAAAGAAAUUCAUCAAGUAAUGUAAGAGGUAUAGAGCAGAAUUUAUUACUCAGUAAAAAGAUAUUAA
Molecule: long non-coding RNA, 300 nt
Organism: Saccostrea cuccullata (small rock oyster)
Lineage: Eukaryota; Metazoa; Mollusca; Bivalvia; Ostreida; Ostreidae
Exons: 4
Source: RefSeq, a predicted model, not a curated record